This 819-nucleotide ribosomal RNA is filed under the name uncultured eukaryote. RNAcentral describes it as "SSU rRNA". It matches the Rfam family "Eukaryotic small subunit ribosomal RNA", at positions 629 to 1426 of the family's 1831-position model. The record is from RNAcentral.
CGGUGUUUAACUGGCGUGAUGUGGGACGUCCUACCGGUGGGCUUAGCCUCGCGAGGGGCGGCCCAACUAAUAUCCCGUCGCGGUGCUCUUUACUGAGUGUCGAGUCGGGCCGGUACGUUUACUUUGAACAAAUUAGAGUGCUUAAAGCAGGCUAUCCUCGCCUGAAUACUGCGUGCAUGGAAUAAUGGAAUAGGACCUCGGUUCUAUUUUGUUGGUUUUCGGAACCCCGAGGUAAUGAUUAAUAGGGACAGAUGGGGGCAUUCGUAUUGCGACGUUAGAGGUGAAAUUCUUGGAUCGUCGCAAGACGGACAGAAGCGAAAGCAUUUGCCAAAAAUGUUUUCAUUAAUCAAGAACGAAAGUUAGAGGUUCGAAGGCGAUCAGAUACCGCCCUAGUUCUAACCAUAAACGAUGCCAGCUAGCGAUCCGCCGAAGUUCCUCCGAUGACUCGGCGGGCAGCUUCCGGGAAACCAAAGCUUUUGGGUUCCGGGGGAAGUAUGGUUGCAAAGCUGAAACUUAAAGGAAUUGACGGAAGGGCACCACCAGGAGUGGAGCCUGCGGCUUAAUUUGACUCAACACGGGGAACCUCACCAGGCCCAGACACCGGAAGGAUUGACAGAUUGAUAGCUCUUUCUUGAUUCGGUGGGUGGUGGUGCAUGGCCGUUCUUAGUUGGUGGAGCGAUUUGUCUGGUUAAUUCCGAUAACGAACGAGACUCUAGCCUGCUAAAUAGGCGUACCUUAUGGUAUCGCGAAGGCCCCCGGCUUCGGCCGGUGGGUUUUUACUACCAACGUACAAACAAAUCUUCUUAGAGGGACAGGCGG